AUAGCUAUGGCAGCUUAGGCCGUACCUCUCUAGGAAUAUAGAUAUACUCCCUCCAUCCCAUAAUAUAAGGGAUUCUAGGGUCUGUCCAGAUUCGUUGUACUAGGAUGUGUCACAUCCACCCAAAUUCUCUUAUAUUAUGGGAUGGAGGGAGUAGGUAGAUAUGUGAAUGAGCUCAAAUUAGUUAUUUGUUAUUUUUGAAAGCUUUUAAAUUUGCAUGGAAUCAAACUGUGAAGCAAAUAAGAUAAAAACAAUGCUUUAGCAAUGAAGCAAUCGUCAAAUGUAGUAUAGAUAAAAUAUGUACCUGGAAUUAAAAACAUACCCCACACAGUGUCGGGUGUAUUGUAAAACUUACAAAAUUUUUAGAACUUAUUCUCAAUGAGUAAAAAUUCUCCAAGCCUGUGCUUGUCUAGAUUAAAAUACAAAACCUUCUUUAUUUAUUUCCUCUCACCACGGCCUUGGCCCAAAUAUAUUUCCUGAAACCAAACUCUACUAGUCAGUGAUUGUCUUCGAUCUCUUGCCUGGAUACCAUGCAUAGAAUGAACUCUCAUCUUUCCCUUUUUGUCUGUUAAGUGAUUAUUAUUAUUAUUAUUAUUAUUAUUAUUAUUAUUAUUAUUAUUAUUAUUAUUAUUAUUAUUAUUAUUAUUAUUAUUAUUAUUAUCAACUUUCCUUUAUUUGAGAUUUAAAACAACAAAACUAGGACUUCUGAAGAAAGAAAUAGAAGAUAAAAAGUUGAACUUCCUAAUUGUGAUAUUCUUAGUAAAGAAAGUGAAACCUGUUGAAACGCAUUUUUUUUAUAUAAUCUCAGUAUCAAACUGAAUAAUGUAUUAGAAUUUCACAUGCAAAAAUCAAAACUGAAAUCAACAGAAAAAUUAAUUGUUUCAUGGUUUUAAGUAUUUAUUUAAGGACUGGACUGAAACCCAACGAAAUGGAAGCUUUGCAGAAUUGGAGCAUGAAAAUAUAAAAGGAAAAGAAAUGCUGGUAUAACUUGAUCAUCAAGGAAUGAGUGAUGAACCUUAUCGAAGCAAACAACUUAAUUAGUUAAUUCCAGAACUUCAUGAUGAAAAAAGUGAAACUGUUAUUUUCCAUCCAUGAUUAAAAUUUGUAUGAUGUUGGGUUAUAUCUUUUCUGAUUUCACUCACACAUCACGCAUUGACAAUAUCGUUGUAUUCUUCACUGAUAAUUUACCAUAUAAAAUCUUUGUACAUGUACAGAUAGAGUAAAUUAUCUUUUUUUUGCAUGAUAAUUAUGGUGAUUAAUUGUGUACAAAAUAAUAUAUUUCAACUCAUUCUGGUGUUAAAUUAUACAUAAAUUAAUAUAUUUAUAAUUACUUUUAACUAUAGGCAAGGUUGUAAAUUUUUGGAGCAUGGGGCAUGUGACCUGUGAGGGCAUGUGCCUACUCUUUUCGUGUUUUAGUUUUAUUCACUAUGCUCCAUGCUCUGCUGUUUUUUCUUUAAAGUUCUUUCUAAUCCAUUUAUAAUUUGUCACAUAUACUGGAUAAAUUGCUUGCGCAUCUAAUUCUUUUAUCUUCUGUUUUUUUAGAUAGCAUAGACCAGAGUACCAUGGCACUUCUAGCACGGUGUGACUAAGUAGUUCCAGAUCUUGAUGGUACAACUUGGCUUCUUUUUGCUUGGGACAAAGAUCAUGCCACCGUAGCUGCAUUCACACUGUGUUGCCCCCUUCAUCACCUACUAGCAAGUGGCUCUUCUUCAAGACUUCAUAGUGAUGGCGAUGUUCGUCCCUAGCAUAUUCGCCUGCCUUGUUGCGCUAUCGGCUCAAAGCUAGCCACCAGAGAGUUGUCAGCGAUCGCUCCAUGAGUGAGGAGGAGAUUACUGGCCCUAAUGUUCAUCGCCACCGUCAUUUUGUUUGUGUCGGUGGUACUCGUAGGGUUCUUCUACUACUAUCUUAUUGAGUUGAGGGUGUUUGUCUUCGAUUGUCUAUUUAUGGCGACCAGACUUACAGUGUACAUCGCGUAUGCGUUAUUUAGAGCUUGAUGUGUCUUGGUCUACUAGGACAUGUUCAGUACUGUACUCUUUUCAGACUAGAGGUUCUACAUUUGGAGAGAUGCAGAAAAUGCUAGCAGCCAUGUUUGG
Molecule: small RNA, 2090 nt
Filed under: Oryza sativa Japonica Group (Japanese rice)
Lineage: Eukaryota; Viridiplantae; Streptophyta; Magnoliopsida; Poales; Poaceae
Description: sRNA Os08g0244800
Source: RNAcentral